UACGUAGGGUGCAAGCGUUAUCCGGAAUUAUUGGGCGUAAAGAGCUCGUAGGCGGUUUGUCGCGUCUGCUGUGAAAACUGGAGGCUCAACCUCCAGCCUGCAGUGGGUACGGCAGACUAGAGUGCGGUAGGAGAGAUUGGAAUUCCCGGUGUAGCGGUGAAAUGCGCAGAUAUCGGGAGGAACACUGGUGGCGAAGGCGGUUCUCUGGGCCUUACCUGACGCUGAGGAGCGAAAGCGUGGGGGAGCGAACAGG
RNAcentral lists this ribosomal RNA (253 nucleotides) under uncultured bacterium. Its description in RNAcentral is "partial 16S ribosomal RNA". It matches the Rfam family "Bacterial small subunit ribosomal RNA", at positions 524 to 776 of the family's 1533-position model. The record is from RNAcentral.